AAAACUUUUAACAACGGAUCUCUUGGUUCUGGCAUCGAUGAAGAACGCAGCGAAAUGCGAUAAGUAAUGUGAAUUGCAGAAUUCAGUGAAUCAUCGAAUCUUUGAACGCACAUUGCGCCCCCUGGUAUUCCGGGGGGCAUGCCUGUUCGAGCGUCAUUUCACCACUCAAGCC
RNAcentral lists this ribosomal RNA (172 nucleotides) under Cladosporium cladosporioides. RNAcentral's name for it is "5.8S ribosomal RNA". The stretch from base 3 to 156 matches the Rfam family "5.8S ribosomal RNA". From Rfam's summary of the family: 5.8S ribosomal RNA (5.8S rRNA) is a component of the large subunit of the eukaryotic ribosome. Lineage: Eukaryota; Fungi; Ascomycota; Dothideomycetes; Cladosporiales; Cladosporiaceae. The record is from RNAcentral.